UACGGAGGGUGCAAGCGUUAUCCGGAAUUAUUGGGCGUAAAGCGUCCGCAGGUGGCAAUGUAAGUCUGCUGUUAAAGAGUCUAGCUCAACUAGAUACAAGCAGUGGAAACUACAUAGCUAGAGUACGUUCGGGGCAGAGGGAAUUCCUGGUGUAGCGGUGAAAUGCGUAGAGAUCAGGAAGAACACCGGUGGCGAAGGCGCUCUGCUAGGCCGUAACUGACACUGAGGGACGAAAGCUAGGGGAGCGAAUGGG
This 253-nucleotide ribosomal RNA is filed under the name uncultured bacterium. RNAcentral's name for it is "partial 16S ribosomal RNA". It matches the Rfam family "Bacterial small subunit ribosomal RNA", at positions 524 to 776 of the family's 1533-position model. The record is from RNAcentral.